Molecule: small RNA, 560 nt
Filed under: Pongo abelii (Sumatran orangutan)
Lineage: Eukaryota; Metazoa; Chordata; Mammalia; Primates; Hominidae
Description: processed transcript
Source: RNAcentral
CAGAAGCCAAGAAGUGGCAGAACACACCCAGAGUUACUACUGGACCCACCCCUUUCAGCACCAUGCCAAACGCAGCAGCCGUUGCCAUGGCUGCAACACUUACACAGCAGCAACAGCCUGCUACAGGGCCACAGCCAUCUCUGGGAGUUAGUUUUGGAACGCCAUUCGGCUCAGGUAUUGGCACUGGCUUGCAAUCAAGUGGCUUAGGUUCUUCAAACCUUGGAGGAUUUGGAACUAGCUCUGGUUUUGGAUGCAGCACCACAGGGGCCUCCACAUUUGGAUUUGGAACAACAAAUAAACCCUCAGGAAGUCUUAGUGCAGGCAACAGAUCACAGGUUUUAACUGAAUUUCGAAAACCCAGUGUUACAGAAACCAAUGAAAUAGGAAGAAAAAUCCAGUUCUGAGCAGUCCUUGAAUCAACAAAUAUCUACCUUUAAGGAACUUCUAAUUCUCAUUUUGUAAAUCCCAUUAUUCAAGAAAAGCACAUUAAGCUUAGAGUAGGUUUGGUCAAGAUGUUUAGAAUUAAGGAAAUAAAACUUGCCUUUGGUGUUUAAGGACAA